This 313-nucleotide long non-coding RNA is filed under the name Gossypium raimondii (Peruvian cotton). RNAcentral's name for it is "long non-coding RNA (GRAI_LNC000019)". Lineage: Eukaryota; Viridiplantae; Streptophyta; Magnoliopsida; Malvales; Malvaceae. The record is from RNAcentral.
CAUUUAAAUAAAUACACCACUUUCUUUUCAUAUAAUAAAUAUACUUAUUUGUAUACGCAAUACAUAAAUGUAAAAUGAUGAUAUAUUAAUAAUUGUCUUAGCAAAUUUUGAAAAUUGAAUCAAAUCAAAAUUUCAUGUAUAAAUUUGCACAAAUCAUAGUUCAUGUAUAACAUUGUACAUUUAAUCAAAGUUCAUGUAUAGUUUUAAGAUUUAUCUCACAAAAAAAAAAAAAACUCUGAAACUUCACCAAAUAAUGUCCAAAUGUCAUAAAAUAAAAUUCCAUUUUGUCAAAAUAAAUCCAAAAACCCAAAAC